Molecule: ribosomal RNA, 441 nt
Filed under: uncultured Clostridium sp.
Lineage: Bacteria; Bacillati; Bacillota; Clostridia; Eubacteriales; Clostridiaceae
Description: bacterial SSU rRNA
Rfam family: Bacterial small subunit ribosomal RNA
Source: RNAcentral
CCUACGGGGGGCUGCAGUGGGGAAUAUUGCGCAAUGGGGGGAACCCUGACGCAGCAACGCCGCGUGAAGGAUGAAGGCCUUCGGGUUGUAAACUUCUUUGAUUGGGGAAGAAAUUUGACGGUACCCAAAGAACAAGCCACGGCUAACUACGUGCCAGCAGCCGCGGUAAUACGUAGGUGGCGAGCGUUGUCCGGAAUUACUGGGUGUAAAGGGCGUGUAGGCGGGGAUGCAAGUCAGAUGUGAAAUUCCGGGGCUCAACCCCGGCACUGCAUCUGAAACUGUGUCUCUUGAGUGCUGGAGAGGAAAGUGGAAUUCCUAGUGUAGCGGUGAAAUGCGUAGAGAUUAGGAGGAACACCAGUGGCGAAGGCGACUUUCUGGACAGUAACUGACGCUGAGGCGCGAGAGCGUGGGGAGCAAACAGGAUUAGAUACCCCAGUAGUC